AAUGCCCUGGGCAGUACUGACUAGCUACCUAGCAAAGGAUUGUGAAGCCAAAUAAAGGUAUGACAAAUCAUUAUUAAGGUAACCUGGACCUUCAGGUUUCAAAAAGUUUAUUUGUGAAUGUGUUUGGGAAGUAUUCAUUCAGGUAUUUCAAAUCACAACAAAGAUCAGAUCAUUUUCUCCUGAGCAGUAAAGAUAGGUGUGGCACAAUGGGUCAUCAUUUGAGGAGCCUGAAUCCUGUGUCAAGGGUUCCAUAUUGUCCUUUCUAAACUUUACACUGUCCUGGCAGGUAGAAUUAUUAGGAUUACUGUUAUACUUCAAGGUAAUUUCACCCACAUUAGUUAUAGAUGAAGAAGCCAGGAGCCAGAAGUUAAUAAUUGGCUGGCAAUAAGGGGCAGCACUGGGAUUUAAAUUCAGUUCCCAUUUUACUCCAAAUCCCCUGCCCUUCAUAUUUGACCUCCUGUUAUCCUGGUUGUGCCACGGGGAUUAUUAUAGAAUAUCUUCUUUAGGGUGAAGGACUAAAUAGGAACAUUAUUUAGUUGAUGGCAUUGUCUACCUCACAGCAGGCCUUGUAACUCUAAAGAGGAUCCCAGAUAUUCCCUGCGGUAGGCUGAAUAUUUAGGAGGGAGCUUGGCCACAACUGUGGAGAAAUGUGAAAGUCCCUGAGGGAUACCAGUUGGGGGACCCAAGAUGGCAUGGUGUCUCCUUAUCCUAAAUAUAGAGAUCUUACCUGGAAGCAAUUCUCUGGCUAGAAAAGGAAAGAUGGGUGUGGUAAGGAUGCAGGUGACACCAGCCCUCCAGGCCCGUGGAAGGAAGCCAGUUUCAGCCACUGAACAGCUCAGAACAGCAUGAGCAACACGAGCAGGGAUAGGGGACCAUGAGAGUUAAAAGAAAUAACACUUUAGCAGGGGUUAAGGUGUGGAUUUAGCAAAUAAUAGGAUGCUCAAUUAAAUUUGAAAUAUAGAUAAACAAUGAAUCACUUCUUAGUGUAGGUAUGUCUGGGUACCAUUUUAUCUGACAAUUCAGGCAGGGGAGGAUGUUGUGGGCUGAGAUUGAGGGCUAACAAAAGGAAGAGUUCCUUCUGUGAGGUUUGGGGAAAGUAUCUAGGAUGUGUCUUGCCCUGGAUGGGUGUCAGUAUAGGAAAACUUCCAAAGAAAGCUUAUCAUCUCAAUAGAGAACCACUCGGACCCUAUGCUCUCACAUUUCAGCCUUGGAGGGACAAACCUUCUGAGUUUAUA
RNAcentral lists this long non-coding RNA (1235 nucleotides) under Marmota monax (woodchuck). The record is from RNAcentral. Lineage: Eukaryota; Metazoa; Chordata; Mammalia; Rodentia; Sciuridae.